Molecule: non-coding RNA, 72 nt
Organism: Phrynosoma platyrhinos (Desert horned lizard)
Lineage: Eukaryota; Metazoa; Chordata; Lepidosauria; Squamata; Phrynosomatidae
Source: the annotation of a GenBank genome assembly
GCCAGUGUGGCAUAGUGGUUUGGGCAUUAGACUAUGACCCUGGAAAUCAGGGUUUAAAUCCCUGCGUGGCCA